This 543-nucleotide ribosomal RNA is filed under the name uncultured Escherichia sp. RNAcentral's name for it is "bacterial SSU rRNA". It matches the Rfam family "Bacterial small subunit ribosomal RNA", at positions 28 to 560 of the family's 1533-position model. The record is from RNAcentral. Lineage: Bacteria; Pseudomonadati; Pseudomonadota; Gammaproteobacteria; Enterobacterales; Enterobacteriaceae.
AUUGAACGCUGGCGGCAGGCCUAACACAUGCAAGUCGAACGGUAACAGGAAACAGCUUGCUGUUUCGCUGACGAGUGGCGGACGGGUGAGUAAUGUCUGGGAAACUGCCUGAUGGAGGGGGAUAACUACUGGAAACGGUAGCUAAUACCGCAUAACGUCGCAAGACCAAAGGGGGGGACCUUCGGGCCUCUUGCCAUCGGAUGUGCCCAGAUGGGAUUAGCUUGUUGGUGGGGUAACGGCUCACCAAGGCGACGAUCCCUAGCUGGUCUGAGAGGAUGACCAGCCACACUGGAACUGAGACACGGUCCAGACUCCUACGGGAGGCAGCAGUGGGGAAUAUUGCACAAUGGGCGCAAGCCUGAUGCAGCCAUGCCGCGUGUAUGAAGAAGGCCUUCGGGUUGUAAAGUACUUUCAGCGGGGAGGAAGGGGGUAAAGUUAAUACCUUUGCUCAUUGACGUUACCCGCAGAAGAAGCACCGGCUAACUCCGUGCCAGCAGCCGCGGUAAUACGGAGGGUGCAAGCGUUAAUCGGAAUUACUGGGCG